UCAACGCUGGCGGCGUGCCUAACACAUGCAAGUCGAACGAGAAAGUGGAGCAAUCCAUGAGUAAAGUGGCGCACGGGUGAGUAACACGUGACUAACCUACCCUUGAGUGGGGGAUAACUGAGGGAAACCUUAGCUAAUACCGCAUAAUACCUACGGGUCAAAGGAGCAAUUCGCUUAAGGAGGGGGUCGCGGCCGAUUAGUUAGUUGGCGGGGUAAUGGCCCACCAAGACAGUGAUCGGUAUCCGGCCUGAGAGGGCGCACGGACACACUGGAACUGAAACACGGUCCAGACUCCUACGGGAGGCAGCAGUGGGGAAUUUUGCGCAAUGGGGGAAACCCUGACGCAGCAACGCCGCGUGGAGGAUGAAGUACUUCGGUACGUAAACUCCUUUCGAUCGGGACGAUUAUGACGGUACCGGAAGAAGAAGCCCCGGCUAACUUCGUGCCAGCAGCCGCGGUAAUACGAGGGGGGCAAGCGUUGUUCGGAAUUAUUGGGCGUAAAGGGUGCGUAGGCGGUUUGGUAAGUCUUGUGUGAAAUCUCUGGGCUCAACUCAGAGACUGCACGAGAAACUGCCGGGCUUGAGUGUGGGAGAGGUGAGUGGAAUUUCCGGUGUAGCGGUGAAAUGCGUAGAUAUCGGAAGGAACACCUGUGGCGAAAGCGGCUCACUGGACCACAACUGACGCUGAUGCACGAAAGCUAGGGGAGCAAACAGGAUUAGAUACCCUGGUAGUCCUAGCCCUAAACGAUGACUGCUUGGUGUGACGGGUACCCAAUCCCGUCGUGCCGUAGCUAACGCGUAAGCAGUCCGCC
This 811-nucleotide ribosomal RNA is filed under the name uncultured bacterium. RNAcentral describes it as "bacterial SSU rRNA". It matches the Rfam family "Bacterial small subunit ribosomal RNA", at positions 30 to 873 of the family's 1533-position model. The record is from RNAcentral.